GUGUCAGCAGCCGCGGUAAUACGGAGGGUGCAAGCGUUAUCCGGAAUCAUUGGGUUUAAAGGGUCCGCAGGCGGGCGUAUAAGUCAGUGGUGAAAUCCUGCAGCUUAACUGCAGAACUGCCAUUGAUACUGUACGUCUUGAAUUCGGUCGAAGUGGGCGGAAUGUGUAGUGUAGCGGUGAAAUGCAUAGAUAUUACACAGAACACCGAUAGCGAAGGCAGCUCACUAGGCCUGGAUUGACGCUCAGGGACGAAAGCGUGGGGAUCAAACAGGAUUAGAUACCCUGGUAGUCCACGCUGUAAACGAUGAUUACUCGUUUUCGGCGAUAUACUGUCGGAGACUAAGCGAAAGUGAUAAGUAAUCCACCUGGGGAGUACGAUCGCAAGGUUGAAACUUAAAUGAAUUGACGGGG
RNAcentral lists this ribosomal RNA (411 nucleotides) under uncultured prokaryote. RNAcentral describes it as "bacterial SSU rRNA". It matches the Rfam family "Bacterial small subunit ribosomal RNA", at positions 505 to 918 of the family's 1533-position model. The record is from RNAcentral.